RNAcentral lists this ribosomal RNA (1170 nucleotides) under Pseudomonas putida. RNAcentral describes it as "bacterial SSU rRNA". It matches the Rfam family "Bacterial small subunit ribosomal RNA", at positions 33 to 1207 of the family's 1533-position model. The record is from RNAcentral. Lineage: Bacteria; Pseudomonadati; Pseudomonadota; Gammaproteobacteria; Pseudomonadales; Pseudomonadaceae.
GGGCUUGCGGCGGCUACACAUGCAGUCGAGCGGAUGAAAGGAGCUUGCUCCUGGAUUCAGCGGCGGACGGGUGAGUAAUGCCUAGGAAUCUGCCUGGUAGUGGGGGACAACGUUUCGAAAGGAACGCUAAUACCGCAUACGUCCUACGGGAGAAAGCAGGGGACCUUCGGGCCUUGCGCUAUCAGAUGAGCCUAGGUCGGAUUAGCUAGUUGGUGAGGUAAUGGCUCACCAAGGCGACGAUCCGUAACUGGUCUGAGAGGAUGAUCAGUCACACUGGAACUGAGACACGGUCCAGACUCCUACGGGAGGCAGCAGUGGGGAAUAUUGGACAAUGGGCGAAAGCCUGAUCCAGCCAUGCCGCGUGUGUGAAGAAGGUCUUCGGAUUGUAAAGCACUUUAAGUUGGGAGGAAGGGUUGUAGAUUAAUACUCUGCAAUUUUGACGUUACCGACAGAAUAAGCACCGGCUAACUCUGUGCCAGCAGCCGCGGUAAUACAGAGGGUGCAAGCGUUAAUCGGAAUUACUGGGCGUAAAGCGCGCGUAGGUGGUUUGUUAAGUUGGAUGUGAAAUCCCCGGGCUCAACCUGGGAACUGCAUCCAAAACUGGCAAGCUAGAGUAUGGUAGAGGGUGGUGGAAUUUCCUGUGUAGCGGUGAAAUGCGUAGAUAUAGGAAGGAACACCAGUGGCGAAGGCGACCACCUGGACUGAUACUGACACUGAGGUGCGAAAGCGUGGGGAGCAAACAGGAUUAGAUACCCUGGUAGUCCACGCCGUAAACGAUGUCAACUAGCCGUUGGGAGCCUUGAGCUCUUAGUGGCGCAGCUAACGCAUUAAGUUGACCGCCUGGGGAGUACGGCCGCAAGGUUAAAACUCAAAUGAAUUGACGGGGGCCCGCACAAGCGGUUGGAGCAUGUGGUUUAAUUCGAAGCAAACGCGAAGAAACUUUACCAGGCCUUGACAUCCAAUGAACUUUCCAGAGAUGGAUUGGUGCCUUCGGGAACAUGAGACAGGUGCUGCAUGCUUGUCGUCAGCUCGUGUCUUGAAUGUUGGUUAGUCCCGUAACGAUCGCAAUCCUUGUCUUAUGUACGACACGUAAUUGAUGGGCUACCCUACGAACUGCCGUGACAACUGGAGAAGGAUGGGACUGACCCUCCAGUCAUCAUUGACUUACGA